Lolium perenne is the source of this 1031-nucleotide long non-coding RNA. RefSeq lists it as uncharacterized. The record is from RefSeq and is a predicted model, not a curated record. NCBI's taxonomy places the organism in Eukaryota, Viridiplantae, Streptophyta, Magnoliopsida, Poales, Poaceae.
AGCUCGCGCCGUCUCACCCUCCCGGCCGCAUAUGCGGGCACAACGGCAGCGGCUGCCUCAGGAGAGGAGGAUGCGGCGGCGGUCCUUGGUGCGGGACAUCCGCUCGAACUGGCGCGGGGAGACUGGAUGAACCGACGGCGGCGAGGCUCGAGAUCCCCCGCCUCAUCCUUCCCUGCCUCUGCACCCGACGAUGACGGCCCAGCCAUGUUAUUUGGGCGAGGAGGCAACAGAUCGGGAGAUCUAUCCUUCCCUGGUGCUUGCGACGGCGGCGGCAACCGGCGGUAACAGCCAGCAGGGCCCUGACAACCAGGUACAGCGCUCCUUUCUUUUACGAGCACAAACUGCGCCGCGUGACACACCCAGGUACUGAUCUUCAACCAAAGGGCAGCGGUAACCGGCGACCGGCGGCCAGCGGCGACCGGCGACCACAACCAGACUACAAAAAUUCAGCAUCUUGCUUCCUUGCCGUCCACACUUCCAUGGUGCCACCUCGACCUCACGGAUCUUGCCAAUGGCUAUGACGCCAAGGUCCUGCAUGUGAACUGUUUGAUGAAAUUCGUCUGUGCCAAUUCUUUAUUGCUGCUCAUGAAGCAGCUGCCGGCCAAGCAGAGAUAUUUAUAAUGUGACGGACUGCUGCCGGAAGAAAAAGAAGACAACGGCAUCGCUGCCACAUGGGAUCUCCUUCUAUGACGCUGUCGUGCUGGGUUUUGUUAGGUCUGUGCUCAGCGCUGUUCAUUUUCUCUAAAAAGACUUUGAGACACAUCUUGUUGAAUUUGUAUAGCUUUCAGCUGGGAAGGACACCAACAUGGUUAUAGACUUAUAGCUGUUGCUCUUGGACUUGGGAUAUGAAUCGUUGGGUGUUAAAAGCACUUCAUAGCAGCUUGGUCAUACCAUGGAUUCUUUGGAAGCUCUUUUCAGAAGCAGAGAGAGUGUACUACACUGGAGGAUUAAAAGAUCUUCGCAAUAUUUGCUUUCUCAAUGUUAACCUGUAGGUAUCUCCUACUCUUCAAUGAAUCUGUAUUAUGGUGUUC